UACAGAGGUCUCAAGCGUUGUUCGGAUUCAUUGGGCGUAAAGGGUGCGUAGGUGGCGCCAUAAGUCAGGUGUGAAAUCCUGGAGCUCAACUCCAGAACUGCCUUUGAUACUGGGAGUCUUGAGUUCGGGAGAGGUGAGUGGAACUGCGAGUGUAGAGGUGAAAUUCGUAGAUAUUCGCAAGAACACCAGUGGCGAAGGCGGCUCACUGGCCCGAUACUGACGCUGAGGUGCGAAAGCGUGGGGAGCAAACAGG
RNAcentral lists this ribosomal RNA (253 nucleotides) under uncultured prokaryote. RNAcentral describes it as "partial 16S ribosomal RNA". It matches the Rfam family "Bacterial small subunit ribosomal RNA", at positions 524 to 776 of the family's 1533-position model. The record is from RNAcentral.